Molecule: ribosomal RNA, 580 nt
Filed under: Vibrio parahaemolyticus
Lineage: Bacteria; Pseudomonadati; Pseudomonadota; Gammaproteobacteria; Vibrionales; Vibrionaceae
Description: partial 23S ribosomal RNA
Rfam family: Bacterial large subunit ribosomal RNA
Source: RNAcentral
GGAUAGGUGGGAGGCUUUGAAGCACGUACGCCAGUAUGUGUGGAGCCGUCCUUGAAAUACCACCCUUGUAGUGUUGAUGUUCUAACGUCGACCCCUUAUCGGGGUUACGGACAGUGCCUGGUGGGUAGUUUGACUGGGGCGGUCUCCUCCCAAAGAGUAACGGAGGAGCACGAAGGUGGGCUAAUCACGGUUGGACAUCGUGAGGUUAGUGCAAUGGCAUAAGCCCGCUUGACUGCGAGAAUGACAAUUCGAGCAGGUGCGAAAGCAGGUCAUAGUGAUCCGGUGGUUCUGAAUGGAAGGGCCAUCGCUCAACGGAUAAAAGGUACUCCGGGGAUAACAGGCUGAUACCGCCCAAGAGUUCAUAUCGACGGCGGUGUUUGGCACCUCGAUGUCGGCUCAUCACAUCCUGGGGCUGAAGUCGGUCCCAAGGGUAUGGCUGUUCGCCAUUUAAAGUGGUACGCGAGCUGGGUUUAGAACGUCGUGAGACAGUUCGGUCCCUAUCUGCCGUGGGCGUUGGAAGAUUGAAGGGGGCUGCUCCUAGUACGAGAGGACCGGAGUGGACGAACCUCUGGUGUUCGGG